AGAGGACAAAGGCGCUGUCUCCUUAUGGGAUAGUUUCCAGGUGUAUGUUACUUUUGUAAGCUAAGUCUGCCUUCUGGGAUCCAACUGUGAACAGAAUUUGUAAAAGCCUCAAGAACUAUCAGAAUUGAAGGACACUUUCCAGCCCGAGAGGGUGUGAAGCGGAGCUGGUGAGGGGUGUGGCCUGGGCAGAGGGGUCGUGGCCUUGGGAAACUCCCAAGGGCCAGGCUGAGAUGCCUGGAGGGCCACAUUCAGCUUCUGGGUCUGAGGUUCCCAAUCGCCUUACAUGAUAGGAUGUUAACAUAAGACGAGCCCUGCUGGACCAAACUGAUGUUUCUCUCAUUUAGGAUUGCAAUAAGAUGCUCUUGUAAAAUAGCAGAAAGAAUGGAUCCAGUUCAAUGGGGCCCGUUUCAUAUCUGCUUCUUCUUUAUCUUCCUUUGUGUAACAAAGACAUAGUGCCAUUUA
Podarcis muralis (Common wall lizard) is the source of this 462-nucleotide non-coding RNA. The record is from RefSeq and is a predicted model, not a curated record. Lineage: Eukaryota; Metazoa; Chordata; Lepidosauria; Squamata; Lacertidae.